Molecule: ribosomal RNA, 1338 nt
Filed under: Alternaria solani
Lineage: Eukaryota; Fungi; Ascomycota; Dothideomycetes; Pleosporales; Pleosporaceae
Description: SSU rRNA
Rfam family: Eukaryotic small subunit ribosomal RNA
Source: RNAcentral
AAGCCAAAUUUAUACCGUGAAACUGCGAAUGGCUCAUUAAAUCAGUUAUCGUUUAUUUGAUAAUACCUUACUACUUGGAUAACCGUGGUAAUUCUAGAGCUAAUACAUGCUGAAAAUCCCGACUUCGGAAGGGAUGUGUUUAUUAGAUAAAAAACCAAUGCCCUUCGGGGCUCUUUGGUGAUUCAUGAUAACUUUACGGAUCGCAUAGCCUUGCGCUGGCGACGGUUCAUUCAAAUUUCUGCCCUAUCAACUUUCGAUGGUAAGGUAUUGGCUUACCAUGGUUUCAACGGGUAACGGGGAAUUAGGGUUCGAUUCCGGAGAGGGAGCCUGAGAAACGGCUACCACAUCCAAGGAAGGCAGCAGGCGCGCAAAUUACCCAAUCCCGACACGGGGAGGUAGUGACAAUAAAUACUGAUACAGGGCUCUUUUGGGUCUUGUAAUUGGAAUGAGUACAAUUUAAACCUCUUAACGAGGAACAAUUGGAGGGCAAGUCUGGUGCCAGCAGCCGCGGUAAUUCCAGCUCCAAUAGCGUAUAUUAAAGUUGUUGCAGUUAAAAAGCUCGUAGUUGAAACUUGGGUCUGGCUGGCGGGUCCGCCUCACCGCGUGCACUCGUCCGGCCGGACCUUCCUUUUAGCGAACCUCAUGCCCUUCACUGGGCGUGCUGGGGAACUAAGACUUUUACUUUGAAAAAAUUAGAGUGUUCAAAGCAGGCCUUUGCUCGAAUACGUUAGCAUGGAAUAAUAAAAUAGGGCGUGCGUUUCUAUUUUGUUGGUUUCUAGAGACGCCGCAAUGAUUAACAGGAACAGUCGGGGGCAUCAGUAUUCAGUUGUCAGAGGUGAAAUUCUUGGAUUUACUGAAGACUAACUACUGCGAAAGCAUUUGCCAAGGAUGUUUUCAUUAAUCAGUGAACGAAAGUUAGGGGAUCGAAGACGAUCAGAUACCGUCGUAGUCUUAACCGUAAACUAUGCCGACUAGGGAUCGGGCGAUGUUCUUUUUCUGACUCGCUCGGCACCUUACGAGAAAUCAAAGUUUUUGGGUUCUGGGGGGAUUAUGGUCGCAAGGCUGAAACUUAAAGAAAUUGACGGAAGGUCACCACCAGGCGUGGAGCCUGCGGCUUAAUUUGACUCAACACGGGGAAACUCACCAGGUCCAGAUGAAAUAAGGAUUGACAGAUUGAGAGCUCUUUCUUGAUUUUUCAGGUGGUGGUGCAUGGCCGUUCUUAGUUCGUGGGGUGACUUGUCUGCUUAAUUGCGAUAACGAGCGAGACCUUACUCUGCUAAAUAGCCAGGCUAGCUUUGGCUGGUCGCCGGCUUCUUAGAGAGACUAUCAACUUCAAAG